AGUGAACGCUGGCGGCGUGCCUAAUACAUGCAAGUCGAACGGAGAUUAAGUAGCUUGCUAUUUAAUCUUAGUGGCGCACGGGUGAGUAAUAUAUAGCUAACUUGCCCAUUACUAAGGGACAACAGUUGGAAACGACUGCUAAUACCUUAUACUCCGUAUCUAUAUAAGUAGAUACGGGAAAGUUUUUCGGUAAUGGAUAGGGCUAUAUCGUAUCAGCUAGUUGGUAAGGUAAUGGCUUACCAAGGCUAUGACGCGUAACUGGUCUGAGAGGAUGAUCAGUCACACUGGAACUGAGACACGGUCCAGACUCCUACGGGAGGCAGCAGUAGGGAAUAUUGCUCAAUGGGGGAAACCCUGAAGCAGCAACGCCGCGUGGAGGAUGACACUUUUCGGAGCGUAAACUCCUUUUCUUGGGAAAGAAUUAUGACGGUACCCAAGGAAUAAGCACCGGCUAACUCCG
RNAcentral lists this ribosomal RNA (460 nucleotides) under uncultured bacterium. RNAcentral's name for it is "partial 16S ribosomal RNA". It matches the Rfam family "Bacterial small subunit ribosomal RNA", at positions 29 to 505 of the family's 1533-position model. The record is from RNAcentral.